This 470-nucleotide unclassified non-coding RNA is filed under the name uncultured fungus. RNAcentral describes it as "partial contains small subunit ribosomal RNA, internal transcribed spacer 1, and 5.8S ribosomal RNA". The stretch from base 1 to 73 matches the Rfam family "Eukaryotic small subunit ribosomal RNA", at positions 1759 to 1831 of the family's 1831-position model. The record is from RNAcentral. Lineage: Eukaryota; Fungi.
UCAAACUUGGUCAUUUAGAGGAAGUAAAAGUCGUAACAAGGUCUCCGUAGGUGAACCUGCGGAGGGAUCAUUAACGAAUGACCAAACCUCAUAAACUCGUGGAACCUUGAAAAUGUGCUUCGGCGCCUGUCAUUGGCGUCGCCCUUAUGCAUUAUGGCCUUGUCUUUUGUCUGAGUGGAUUUGACUUGAAUAAUCAAAACUUUCAACAACGGAUCUCUUGGCACUCAAACGUGGUCAUUUAGAGGAAGUAAAAGUCGUAACAAGGUCUCCGUAGGUGAACCUGCGGAGGGAUCAUUAACGAAUGACCAAACCUCAUAAACUCGUGGAACCUUGAAAAUGUGCUUCGGCGCCUGUCAUUGGCGUCGCCCUUAUGCAUUAUGGCCUUGUCUUUUGUCUGAGUGGAUUUGACUUGAAUAAUCAAAACUUUCAACAACGGAUCUCUUGGCUCUCGCAUCGAUGAAGAACGCAGC